UAAAAUAAUUAAGGGCACACAAAGGAUGCCUAGGUAGUAAGAGCCGAUGAAGGACGUGGUAAGCUGCGAUAAGCCUAGAUAAGUUGCAAUCGAACGUAAGAGUCUAGGAUUUCCGAAUGGAGCAAUCUAUUAAGAUGGAGUCUUAAUACGAAAGAGGGAACCGCGUGAACUGAAACAUCUAAGUAACGCGAGGAAAAGAAAGUAAAAACGAUACCCAAAGUAGCGGCGAGCGAAAUGGGUCAAGCCUAAACCUUAAAUAUGCCAAGGAUACAGCCGUUGUAUUUAAGGGGUUGAGGGACAGAGUAGUGAAGAACUGUAAGAUAUUCAAUAUAGUGUAUUGAUGAAUUGGAAUUGUCUGGAAAGGCGAACCGUAGAAGGUGAAAGUCCUGUACAAGUAAAUCCUUACACAUAUAACUCUGCUCCCAAGUAACAUGGAACACGAGGAAUUCUGUGUGAAUCUGUGAGGACCAUAUCUCAUAAGGCUAAAUACUCUUACUAACCGAUAGCGCAUAGUACCGUGAGGGAAAGGUGAAAAGAACCCCUGGAGGGGAGUGAAAUAGAACCUGAAAUUGUGUGCUUACAAGCGGUCAGAGCCAGUAAUGGUGAUGGCGUGCCUUUUGGAGAAUGAUCCUGCGAGUUACGUUAAACGGCGAGGUUAAGUAUAACGGAGCCGAAGGGAAACCAAGUCUUAAUAGGGCGAUUUAGUCGUUUGGCGUAGACGCGAAACCUGGUGAUCUAAACCUGUCCAGGAUGAAGCUGUGGUAAGACACAGUGGAGGUCCUAACCCACCGCCGUUGAAAAGUUGGGGGAUGAGGUAGGUUUAGGGGUGAAAAGCCAAUCGAACCAGGAGAUAGCUCGUUCUCUCCGAAAUGCAUCUAGGUGCAGCCUUGAGUGUUCAAUUAUGGGGGUAGAGCACUGAAUGAUCUAGGGGGCGUAUUGCUUACUGAAAUCAAUCAAACUCCGAAUACCAUAAUUUAGAGCUCAGGAGUGAGACUAUGGGAGUUAACUUCCAUUGUCGAAAGGGAAACAACCCAGACCACCAGCUAAGGUCCCUAAUUAUAACUAAGUGGGAAAGGAGGUGGAGAUUCACAAACAACUAGGAGGUUGGCUUAGAAGCAGCCAUACCUUUAAAGAGUGCGUAAUAGCUCACUAGUCGAGAGUCUCUGCGCCGACAAUGUAACGGGGCUAAGUUAUAAACCGAAGCUGUGGAAUCCGUAAGGAUUGGUAGGAGAGCGUUCUGUAGGCCGUUGAAGGAGAAGGAUAACCGACUCUGGAGGUAUCAGAAGUGAGAAUGCAGGAAUAAGUAGCGAGAAAGGGGGCGAGAAUCCCCCUCGCCGGAAGACCAAGGUUUUCAGGGUAAAGCUUGUCUUCCCUGAGUAAGCCGGGACCUAAGCCCAGGCUAUAAUGCGUAGGCGAAUGGAAAACAGAUUAAUAUUUCUGUGCCAGUCAUAUAUUGUGAUGGAGGGACGCAGAAGGGUAUGCACGCGGACGAACGGAAGUGUCCGUAGAAGUAUGUAGGAUGACUUGAUAGGAAAAUCCAUUGAGUUAUAUCUGAGGUAUGAUAUACAGUCGUAAGAUGAAUGUGCAAAUCCCACGCUGCCAAGAAAAGCUUCUAACGUUAAUAUUUGACUGCCCGUACUGUAAACCGACACAGGUGGUCAGGAUGAGAAAUCUAAGGCGGACAGGCUAACUCUCGUUAAGGAACUCUGCAAAAUAACCUCGUAACUUCGGGAGAAGAGGAGCCCUUGGGUGUUAGUAUCCACGCGUUACAAAGCACUCGAGGGUCGCAGUGAAGAGGCUCAAGCAACUGUUUAACAAAAACACAGGUCUAUGCUAAGCUGGAAGGCGAUGUAUAUGGGCUGACACCUGCCCAGUGCUGGAAGGUUAAGAGGAGGAGUGAGAGCUCCGAAUUGAAGCCCCAGUGAACGGCGGCCGUAACUAUAACGGUCCUAAGGUAGCGAAAUUCCUUGUCGGGUAAG
This 1979-nucleotide ribosomal RNA is filed under the name human metagenome. RNAcentral describes it as "bacterial LSU rRNA". It matches the Rfam family "Bacterial large subunit ribosomal RNA", at positions 1 to 1980 of the family's 2925-position model. The record is from RNAcentral.